CCGAACCGGACUCGGCUUACUUAACGAGUCACGGUCGAACCGGUCCGACCGGCCGGUCCGGUCCGGUUUUCAAAACCUUGGGAAUUAGUAAUGUCAGGUGUGGAACCAAAGGUCGCUGUAGCCACCAAUAUCAACCCUAAAUUAGUUGGAGAGUUAGUCACCACAAGGUUGGUCUCGGUAUGGUGGUGUUAAGAAGAUCGAAACGUUAACACUGUCUGAGCUAAAUGCUUAUAUCAUAUCGCCCCACAGGUGACCACUUUCACGUAACCCAUAUGUUAGUGCGUUUCUUGACCAACAAUUACUUUCACUUGCGUUGGUGCCAUAUCCAAAGCGUUCCUGAGAUAAAGUGCAAACGAGGAAAGAAAGCUUUCUUAUUACAUGGUAUCUCACCAGAAUCAAUCAAUUUGUUUCUACCGUGAGUAUCUCCAAAUACAGAAUGUAUUGCAACGAGGACAGCAAGAUGAUCGUUGUGUAUGAGUAUGGAAAAGGGAACGCUUAAGGACCAUCUGAACGCUGGAGACAAAAGCUUGAGAUAUGCGCUAAAGGGCUUCACUAUCUCCAUACAGGUUCCGCAAGAGCCACUAUACACUUUGUGUGAAGCCUGCUUCAGGCCAUUGAAGCUCUCGACCCGAACCACAAACUGGGUACUGGAACCACAAGAAUCAAACUCAAUCUGAAUAGAAAGAAACUUCAUAUCAUCAAACUGUUCCGUGAGUUUAACCAAAGGAAAAAUUUACAGAGCAAAUUUGAUGUAAUAAAAGCUCAAAGAGCAACUCUGAGACAACAAGAGUGAAUACCUUUUGGAUAGAUAGAGAAAAUUUCUUUCUUUCUU
Long non-coding RNA from Brassica oleracea var. oleracea, 832 nucleotides. RefSeq lists it as uncharacterized. The transcript has 5 exons. The record is from RefSeq and is a predicted model, not a curated record. NCBI's taxonomy places the organism in Eukaryota, Viridiplantae, Streptophyta, Magnoliopsida, Brassicales, Brassicaceae.